GGUUAGUGCCCGGGAAUGCAUCUUUAGACACGGACCCUUGGAGAGCACCUCUCCGCGGAGGCCUCGGGGCACAGGGCAGUUAGAAAGGGACCGAGAUGAAGGAGACGGAGCCCUGCUUCCGGGGCCUUGCGGGGGAGAGAGAAGACACACCGCCUAUCCGCAAGUGGAAAUAUAAAAGGAGAAAAGACCUGGGGGAGCAUUUUGCUGGGCUACGCGUGCAAGUAGCCGUAACACGAGGUUGAAUUUGGAAGGUGCCCCAAGGAAGUUUCCUUAGCAACUUUUUAUAAUGUAAAUGAAUCGAGGAAUGAAGGAAAUGUGCUAUGGAAGCAUAUCUGUGUGUAUAUGAGGGGACAGGUUUAUUUUAAUGUCUUUUUGUAUGUCCGCUUAUGUGUGUUUGGGAGGAUAUAUAGGAGUAUACGUGUGUGUCUUGAGCGAUGUAUGUAUAUGUAUGUUCAUGUAUAUAAACACAGUGAUAGUUGUAUAUGAGUUUGUGUGCCUGGAAUGAGCCUCUGUGUUUGCACAGGUGUUUAUCUUUAUGUCCCUAAAUGUUAAGUAUGUGCGUCUACAUGAGAUUUAUGGACUUUCCUGAGUUUGUAUUUAAUCUGUGUAUGUAGGUGAAUGUGUGGGUUUGCGUACGUGACUGCAUACCUUGGGUAUGUAUUGCUUUCCUGUGCCAGUGGUGGGUAUGUGUGUGUGUAUGUGGGACUACGUGUGUCUUGGUGAGAUUGUGGUAUGAUUGUGUGUGUGUAUAUGGGAAUACGUUAAUGAGUCUGUGAACAGAGCUGGAGUGUGUCUUGAGGUUAUGUGUGUGUGUGUGUGUGACAGAUGAGAACAGAUGUGUUUUUCAGAGUCUGUGGAUGUGACUGUGUGUGUGUCUUGAUGUAUCUCUGGAGCCGUGAUUCAGUCUGUGAUGAGGGCCUGGGAUUCUUAAGGGUUGGGCUGGUUAAGGCGUUUCUUAGAGGAGGAGGUCCUUGGGGGGAGUGGGGACUGUGGAGAUAGGAAAAGCCUGGGGUGUGCUGGCCCAGGGACUCUCCAGGCUGGCGAUGUAGGCUGAAGCAAGGCAGAAGCUUUUAAUGCCGGAACCAGUUAUGGCGCCUCCUCUGCUUUCCUCCACCCUCUCACAUGCUAGGUCUGCUCCUCUGGUGGCCUCCUUCGGGUCCACCUUGUCAGUGGUCUUCUGCAGAGCGCAUGUCCUUGGUCAUUAACAGUAGCAACAUUACAGAGCACCUACUGUGUGUCUGCCCUGGAAAGCACUGAACUUGGUUCGCCCCUAGGAGGCAGGAACUUAGUAUCCCCCAUUUUCUGGGGGGAAACUGAGGAGGUGUGGUGCCUGUUCCUGGUUACACAGCUGGCGUGGGUGCCUCACACCCCACAGGCUGUGUGCCCGUUCAACUGCUCCACCAGGGUCUCUCAGCCCCGGCACUGCUGACAUUAGGGGCCACAUGAUCCAGCGUUGUAGGGGCCGGUCCUGUGCACUGUAGGAUGUUCAGCAGCAUCCCUUCCCUCUACCCACGAGAUGCCAGUUGUGAUCCCUCCCCAGCUGUGACAACCAAAAUAUCUCUCUAUAUUUCUAAAUGUCCCCUGGGGACAAAAAUCACCCCUGCUUGGGAGCCAGUGGGCUAGACUCUCCUGCCUCCCUGGAUGAAUGCUUUCUGAGGGGCGGCACCAUCCCCACCCUGUCCAGUGGCUUCCACGGUCCCUCUGCUUCCACACUGAUCGUCACUUCCAUGCAGGUAGCCCCUUGCCUCUCCCACGGUCAAACAGCAGGCUUACCAGCUGGGCCACCUUUCCCAGAAACUCAACUUCUUUGAGCCCCAGCCAUAGGAAGCACAGGGCUCAGGAGAUACCUCUAUAGCCCUUAUUAUUAUCCCUUGAGUCACGGGGGUUCCCUGGGGUCAGAGCCAAGAGGAAGAGGGCUGCAAGCCAGCUGCCCUCUCUGGUCCAGAGCUUUGGACUCUGCUGGUUCUGCGAGUUUGCUUUUCUGGUUCAGCGAGAAGAAAACAAUGCUGUGGUGUGGGGCCAAAGCUGGCCCCAUUUGAUGCUAUCAUAUUUAUGCUAUUUCAUCUUUGCAAUAAAACUGCCUGACUUUCCCCACCAGCAGAACCUGAUUUUAGUGAGCCAGUGCUGCACUGUACACAGGGCAGGUGCUCAGGAAGGGCAAGGCGGAGCCGUCAGCAGCGCUCUCGGCAUCUGAACCUGGGCCGGGCUCCAGCAGGGUGUCCAUGCUGCGGCAGGGCCAGCUGGCCACCAUGGCGUGGCCCGGGAGAGCCUGGGCGGCACGUAGAGGGAGUGCCGUGGCUCUGCACACGAGCAGGAGGCCUGAGUCUCCUGCUACAAACAGGAUGCAGGUGACAAAGCCCACGGGGGACUUCCAUGCCACCCCUGUCUCUGCCACUCGGGAAACUCUCUUCCCAUCUUGACUCUGUCCCUUUGCUUCACCAUCCCUCCCUCCGCUCUUCUGUUCUCGUGCAAUCCCUGCAGUGUCCCUGAUGUGUACCAGGCCCUUGCUCCAUCCCCUCGGGAGGCUUCAGAGCAAAGUGGUUAAGGGUGAGGCCUCUGCCACCUCAUCACCUGAGUCUCUGUGGUCUUGGGCAAGGCACUUCACCUCUCUGUGCCUCAGCUUCCUCAGUUCUAACAUGGGCACACAAAGAGGCCCUAUCUGGCAGGAUUAAAUGAGAUACUCCGUGUAAAGGAUGCUAGGCGUGUAGUAAGCCCUUAAUAAAUUGCAGCUGCCAUUAUUGCUAUUAUGCUUGAUUGACAGUGAAAUGCAAAUGAGCCCUUACGAAUUGCCAGGCAAUGUGCUAAGCCCUGGACAAUUCUUUUCUCAUUGAUGCUCUGCAGCUCUAGGAGGAAGGUGCUUUUAUUAGCCUCACAGCAGGGAAGAGGAAGCUGAGGUCCAGGGAGGUUAAGUAACUUACCAGAGUGACAGCGCUGAGAAUCUGAACCAGUGUUGUCCCUGCAAAGCCCAGCUGCCCUGAUCUCCUCUGAAAGCAGAUUUCCCCUGGGAAGGAGGGGCUCGUCUCCAGCCUGCGUCUCCCGGGGCAAUUGGAGAGGCCUGGAGAAGAAGGCAGUGAGGGGCCUGGGCAGGAGGAGGGGUUUGGCUCAGAGAGAGUGAAGUUUCUCUUGUUCAGCUUUUGAUGAAAUCACCUAGCACGGUGGGCUGUGGAGUCAUGACCUCCAAGAGGUGUUGCCAAGUUUUUACCAGUGAGUAAAGUUUAUUAUAAGCCAGGGUGUACGUUGUUCCAGUGCUUUUUGUUUGAAUUGGACCGUAGGGCAGAGGCAGACAGGUAUUGCCGUGCUACGUACGAGUCAGAGGACAGACGGGGGGAGGCCCGUUUUAGAGCUGAUGCCAGAGGAAGACAGUGUGUUUACCGGCAACGGUGAGAACUUGGCCAGUUCCUGUGGAUCAGGAAGUCAGAAGUGACUUAGCUGUGUAGACUCUGGCCUGGAUUCUUUCCUGAAGUUGCAAUCAAGAUGCCAGCCAGGUCUGAAAUCAUCUGAAGGCUUGUCUGGAGCUGGGGAGUCCCCUUCCAAGAUGGCUCGCUCGCAUGGCUGUUGGCGGGAGCCUCAGCUCUUCGCCAUGAGGACCACUCUAUGGGGCUGCUUGAGCAUCCUCACACCAUGGAGAUGGGCUUCCCCCAGAGCAAGGGAGAGCAAGGUGGAAGCCACAUUGUGUUUUAUACCUAGCUCCAGAAGUCAUGCACCAUGGUUUCCUGAAUAGCUUGUUGUUUACACGAGUCAGCCCUGCUGGGAGGGGACCACACAAGGAAGUGAAUACGAGGAGCUGAAAAUCAUGGGGCCAUGUUGGAGGUGGGCUAUCACACUGGUAAUCAUUGUUGACUUGUUUACUAUUAUUUGGAAGAUUCUGGAUCUCAAAUCAAAUCCAGUGUUCAAAAGUGGGCUGCGAACACAAAAAAGUUGGGAGCUGCUCAUCCAAUGGCUUCAUUUCAUCUGUAUCUGCCUGUGGGGUCCCCUGGGGGGCCAUGACUCCAGCAGUGUCCCAAGAUGACCCCAUCAGAAAUAAACCUCUACCAUCCCAUGACACUGAAAGCCUGUUAUCUGUGCCAGGUGCCAGCAAAGCACAGAUGCAUAGGAAGAAGCAGGAACUUUGCAGCCAGACGGAACUGUGUUCAAAUCCUGACUCCCCUCUUGAUGACCUGGGGACUCUGGACGAUUGGCUUAACCUCUCUGAGCCUGAGUGUGGUCGGGUGUAAAAUGGAUUGAGAUCAACUUCACAGGGUCGUUAGGGAGAUGAAAUACAGGAUGACAGAGCAAUGAUAAUAGGAGUCAGGUGAUCUGCCAAUGUUGACCCCUAGAUUUAUUAUUCAUACUGAUAACAAUAAAAUAAUAAUAAUAGCUCACAUUUAUUGACCUCCUAUUAUUGUCAGUCUCUGAAGCUUAAAGCAGUUAAGAACUUUGUCCAAAACACACUGCUGGGAGAGCUGAGACCCACACUCAGUUCUGUCUCUCUCCAAAGCGAAACUGUGUGACAACAAGCUCUUUUCUUAAUAACGGUCUGCAAUGAUCUACACAUUAUGUGGUUCUACCGCCUUCCUUUUCCUCUGUCUCUUUUUUGGCCACUUAGUAGUAUAAGGACGUACCAUAAUUGGUCAAUGAUUUCCCCUGUUGUUGGAUACUCAGUUUCUGCUUUCCACUAUUAACAGUGGGGCGUCAGCGAGCAUCUUUGCUGUGCAGGUGUUUGCCCAGGGCUCACCACAUGCCAGGGGCUGCGCUAAGCACUUGAUGUGUGUCCCACAUUUAAUCCUCCACCAGCCUGAGGACACCCAGCUAGGAAAUGACACUUUCAGGCUCUUACUUGUCUAAUAGAGUGCCUUUUAAGGGUUGAGAGUCCCUUACCUUCUCCAUCCUGAAGAUCUUCCUUCCAAUAGGGCCCCCAAGGAGUGCCUGUGUUUUCCCUGCAGCAGGUGCAUGAGAGACCAGAGGGCUUGGAGUCUGCAAACCCGGGUUUAACAAAAGGACAGCUCUUGACGGGUUACCACCAGGCUCACAGCAGCCAGGGCUCACCAGAUGUGGCCCUGCAUCAGUCAGGAAAGGCCAGGUUAUGCUGUGGUAACAAACGAUCCCAAGAGAGUGGCUUAAAACAUCCAUUGUGGGAAUGUGAUGGGCUCCGUUUUACGUUGCCCUUACUCUGGGCCCCAACUUGAUAGAGCAGCCAUGGGCGUGAUCACCGCCAGUCACCAUUCCAGGAGGCCAGAGGGCAUGUAGGCAAUUGCGCGCUGGAUCCUAAAGCUUUGCCUGGAAGGGACUCGUUCCUUCCUCUCACUUUGCUUUUUUGAUAAAGCAAGUCAUAUAGGCAUGCUUAACCCCGAAAGGACAUGUGCCCCCAGUGGAGAGAACUGUAAUAUUUGGUGAGCGGCACUGAUGACCACCACAGGCUGUGUCCUCUGCUGACCAUUGAGAAAGAGGCUGACAAUCCUAACCACAUUUUAGAACAAUUGAGUCCAGGCCAGAAGUGCCCUUAGCAUUCUUUCCCCAGGAAAGACCCCUGCCUCUAAACCCCGUCGUGCCCACACCAUGAAGCCCA
This 5545-nucleotide long non-coding RNA is filed under the name Equus caballus (horse). RNAcentral describes it as "lncRNA (ENSECAG00000058006.1)". The record is from RNAcentral. Lineage: Eukaryota; Metazoa; Chordata; Mammalia; Perissodactyla; Equidae.